RNAcentral lists this ribosomal RNA (497 nucleotides) under uncultured bacterium. RNAcentral describes it as "partial 16S ribosomal RNA". It matches the Rfam family "Bacterial small subunit ribosomal RNA", at positions 28 to 507 of the family's 1533-position model. The record is from RNAcentral.
GAUGAACGCUGGCGGCGUGCCUAAUACAUGCAAGUCGAGCGAACGGACGAGAAGCUUGCUUUUCUGAUGUUAGCGGCGGACGGGUGAGUAACACGUGGAUAACCUACCUAUAAGACUGGGAUAACUUCGGGAAACCGUAGCUAAUACCGGAUAAUAUUUUGAACCGCAUGGUUCAAAAGUGAAAGACGGUCUUGCUGCCACUUAUAGAUGGAUCCGCGCUGCAUUAGCUAGUUGGUAAGGUAACGGCUUACCAAGGCAACGAUGCAUAGCCGACCUGAGAGGGUGAUCAGCCACACUGGAACUGAGACACGGUCCAGACUCCUACGGGAGGCAGCAGUAGGGAAUCUUCCGCAAAGGGCGAAAGCCUGACGGAGCAACGCCGCGUGAGUGAUGAAGGUCUUCGGAUCGUAAAACUCUGUUAUUAGGGAAGAACAUAUGUGUAAGUAACUGUGCACAUCUUGACGGUACCUAAUCAGAAAGCCACGGCUAACUACGUG